This 387-nucleotide ribosomal RNA is filed under the name Fusarium oxysporum f. sp. lycopersici. Its description in RNAcentral is "eukaryotic LSU rRNA". The stretch from base 63 to 216 matches the Rfam family "5.8S ribosomal RNA". Lineage: Eukaryota; Fungi; Ascomycota; Sordariomycetes; Hypocreales; Nectriaceae. The record is from RNAcentral.
CCAGAGGACCCCUAAACUCUGUUUCUAUAUGUAACUUCUGAGUAAAACCAUAAAUAAAUCAAAACUUUCAACAACGGAUCUCUUGGUUCUGGCAUCGAUGAAGAACGCAGCAAAAUGCGAUAAGUAAUGUGAAUUGCAGAAUUCAGUGAAUCAUCGAAUCUUUGAACGCACAUUGCGCCUGCCAGUAUUCUGGCGGGCAUGCCUGUUCGAGCGUCAUUUCAACCCUCAAGCACAGCUUGGUGUUGGGACUCGCGUUAAUUCGCGUUCCCCAAAUUGAUUGGCGGUCACGUCGAGCUUCCAUAGCGUAGUAGUAAAACCCUCGUUACUGGUAAUCGUCGCGGCCACGCCGUUAAACCCCAACUUCUGAAUGUUGACCUCGGAGCAGGU